CCUACGGGAGGCAGCAGUGAGGAAUAUUGGUCAAUGGUCGGGAGACUGAACCAGCCAAGCCGCGUGAGGGAUGAAGGUACAGAGUAUCGUAAACCUCUUUUGUCAUGGAACAAAGGCGGGGACGUGUCCCCGGGUGCGUGUACCUGAAGAAAAAGCAUCGGCUAACUCCGUGCCAGCAGCCGCGGUAAUACGGAGGAUGCGAGCGUUAUCCGGAUUUAAUGGGUUUAAAGGGUGCGGAGGCGGGUCUUUAAGUCAGCUGUUAAAGGCACGGGCUCAACCCCCGCCCCGCCGUUGAAACUGGCAGUCUCGAGUUGGAGAGAAGUAUGCGGAAUGCGCGGUGUAGCGGUGAAAUGCAUAGAUAUCGCGCAGAACUCCGAUUGCGAAGGCAGCAUGCCGGCUCCACACUGACGCUGAGGCACGAAAGCGUGGGUAUCGAACAGGAUUAGAUACCCCAGUAGUC
RNAcentral lists this ribosomal RNA (460 nucleotides) under uncultured bacterium. RNAcentral describes it as "partial 16S ribosomal RNA". It matches the Rfam family "Bacterial small subunit ribosomal RNA", at positions 338 to 795 of the family's 1533-position model. The record is from RNAcentral.